RNAcentral lists this ribosomal RNA (433 nucleotides) under uncultured bacterium. RNAcentral describes it as "partial 16S ribosomal RNA". It matches the Rfam family "Bacterial small subunit ribosomal RNA", at positions 29 to 507 of the family's 1533-position model. The record is from RNAcentral.
AACGAACGCUGGCGGCAUGCCUAACACAUGCAAGUCGAACGAGAACUUCGGGUCUAGUGGCGCUCGGCUGCGUAACGCCUGGGGAUCUACCCUUGGGUUCGGAAUAACAGUUGGAAACGACUGCUAAUACCGGAUGAUUACGUAAGUCCAAAGAUUUAUCGCCCCAGGAUGAGCCCGCGUAGGAUUAGCUAGUGGGUGAGGUAAAGGCUCAUCAAGGCGACGAUCCUUAGCUGGUCGGAGAGGAGGAUCAGCCACACUUGGACUGAGACACGGCCCAGACUCGUACGCGAGGGAGGAGUGGGGAAUACAGGACAGUGGGCGAAAGCCUGAUCCAGUAAUGGCGGGUGAGUGAUGAAGGCGGUAGGGAAGUAAAGCUCGUUUACCCGGGAUGAUAAUGACAGUACCGGGAGAAGAAGCUCCGGCUAACUCCGUG